UUAUUUAUUUAACGGCCGCAGUAUUCUGACUGUGCUAAGGUAGCAUAAUAGUUUGUCUCUUAAUUAGAGUCUAGAAUAAAAGAUCUUAUAAGUUUAAACUUUCUUCUUUUGAAAAAUUUAAUUUUAUUAUUGAGUGAAAAGGCUCAAAUGUCCAAGAAAGACGAUAAGACCCUAUAAAACUUCAUCACGACAAUACUUAUAGUGAUAAUUUUAUUAAAAUCACAAUAUAUAAUCAGUGAUUAAGUUGGGGCGACUAUAAUUAAAUCCUAAACAUUUUAGUUUUUAAUAAUCAAAUUUAAAUAAAUUAAGAUCCUCAAAAAGAUUAUUUGAUAAAGUUACUUUAGGGAUAACAGCGUAAUUUUUUUAGAGAGCUCCUAUCGAUAAAAAA
This 388-nucleotide ribosomal RNA is filed under the name Muccanella cundalinensis. RNAcentral's name for it is "partial large subunit ribosomal RNA". Lineage: Eukaryota; Metazoa; Arthropoda; Malacostraca; Bathynellacea; Bathynellidae. The record is from RNAcentral.